UGCUUCACUCUCAAAGGUUCAACAUACAAGCUUCAACAAAAGAAAAAAUUCAAAGAACUUAGUGAAGAAGGCCUUGGUGUAUUUAACACAAUACGUUGAAAUGAAGCAAAAUUUGUUUAUUGAUAUCUCCGAUAAGUUACAAAUAUGUACAUAUACAUGAAUCAAAAUAAACAAACAAGAAAGAGCCUUCACAAAGGUUGUUCAUGAUAAGUCUCAGCAGUCGGCAGAGCCCCAGAAAGAGUAGGCACCGAAGGGUGAUCAUUCGGAGCCUCAGUACUGGGUAGAACCCCAGAAGGAGGAGGCACCGAAGGUUGAUCAUUCAGAGCUUCAUUAUGCGAUACAGCCCCAUAAGACGAAGGCAAUAAAUGCCUUUGGAACAAACCCACAAACCUCUGAUGAUCAAGCAAAAUUUGACCAUCAGAUUCCUGCAGCUAGUCAAGCUUUCUCUUCAUGUUUGUAGCAUAGUCAUG
RNAcentral lists this long non-coding RNA (470 nucleotides) under Malus domestica (apple). RNAcentral's name for it is "long non-coding RNA (MDOM_LNC007755)". Lineage: Eukaryota; Viridiplantae; Streptophyta; Magnoliopsida; Rosales; Rosaceae. The record is from RNAcentral.